AUAGAGGUAGUUAAAGUAUAAUAUGAGAUUUGCAAUUUCGAGUUGAGAAGAGGUCUCUCUCUAUU
RNAcentral lists this transfer RNA (65 nucleotides) under Histampica haimaensis. RNAcentral describes it as "Histampica sp. h LQ-2021 tRNA-Ala". Lineage: Eukaryota; Metazoa; Echinodermata; Ophiuroidea; Amphilepidida; Ophiactidae. RNAcentral also lists the same sequence under 1 other name. The record is from RNAcentral.